This 73-nucleotide transfer RNA is filed under the name Gadus morhua (Atlantic cod). RNAcentral's name for it is "tRNA-Arg (TCT) (tRNA-Arg-TCT-3-1)". It matches the Rfam family "tRNA". From Rfam's summary of the family: Transfer RNA (tRNA) molecules are approximately 80 nucleotides in length. Their secondary structure includes four short double-helical elements and three loops (D, anti-codon, and T loops). Lineage: Eukaryota; Metazoa; Chordata; Actinopteri; Gadiformes; Gadidae. RNAcentral also lists the same sequence under 2 other names. The record is from RNAcentral.
GGCUCUGUGGCGCAAUGGAUAGCGCGUUGGACUUCUAAUUCAAAGGUUGUGGGUUCGAGUCCCACCAGAGUCA